Molecule: long non-coding RNA, 347 nt
Filed under: Mytilus galloprovincialis (Mediterranean mussel)
Lineage: Eukaryota; Metazoa; Mollusca; Bivalvia; Mytilida; Mytilidae
Source: RNAcentral
CAAUUCGGCAUCCAAUAAUACUUGAUAUAAUAUAUGGGACUGGGACUAUUUAAGUUUGUAAUUUAAGUAUACUAGCAUAAAAGUCCCCCACGGUCCCAGCUUGUCUGGCAAAUCAGCCGUCGGACAUCAGAGUAAUCUCGAACUAUGAAGUGAAAUACCUUCUCUCUCUCUCAGUGACUGCUGUGGAAAGUAAACUUGGAAUUGAUAGCACACAAAUAAAACACAAUAAGUACAUUGCUCGUACACUUGUAUCCGGGAUUAGCUAUUUUUAAAGUUGAGUGACUAUUCAGAUUUAUAUUACCUUUGCAUGUGCAGUUGAAUUAGUUUUGAAAAUAAUACUAUCCAGC